Non-coding RNA from Acanthosepion pharaonis, 99 nucleotides. Lineage: Eukaryota; Metazoa; Mollusca; Cephalopoda; Sepiida; Sepiidae. The record is from the annotation of a GenBank genome assembly.
CAGUGAAACACCGGUACCCGUACGAUCACAGACGUUAAGCAACGUCGAACCUGGUCAUUACCGAGAUGGGUGACCACGUGAGAAUAUCAAGUGAUGUAA